GCGGCAGUGGUGGAGUGGGUGACUGUUACAGGUGUCCCUGUCAUCCAAACAUUCCAAGAGUGCAGUUGCUGCACUAUUCGAUGAAUAAGCAGAAAUAGAUCAACAAGCUCCUGAAACUUAGCUCACUCCCCUGUACUUUUUCCCUCCUCAGCCUAGUCUCCACUGCUUUGACCUUUGCUUCAAGUGAAAUCUUCCUUCAACAACUUAAAAUACUUUCAAAAAUUAUUUCACAAAGGGCAGGGGACAUAACUCAACAGCACAGCACUUGCCUGGCAAGUAUGAGGUCCUGAGCUCAAUUCCCAGUACCAAAAAAAAUUUUCACAGAAAGGACAAAAGGUCAAGAUUUCAUGGGGCUGUGUCAAGAUUCCUCAGAGCUCGCUCACCCUUUUUGUGAGGUAGAACCAUGCUUUUCCUCACCCAAAUCCAAGACCAGACCCAAAGACAAGAUUGACAGAUUCUACAGAGUCUCACUGCCAAAACCACACAAGUAUUUACAGCGACAAGGAGUGCACCUCUCUCUCUCUCUCUCUUGGGGGCAUACACUCUAUUUCUUUGGGUAUGUUCUAAAAUUUCUGCCUAAUAAACUUUUCCUUUGAUGGGAGUCAGCAA
RNAcentral lists this long non-coding RNA (609 nucleotides) under Fukomys damarensis (Damara mole-rat). Its description in RNAcentral is "lncRNA (ENSFDAG00000024988.1)". Lineage: Eukaryota; Metazoa; Chordata; Mammalia; Rodentia; Bathyergidae. The record is from RNAcentral.